CCCCCCUUUUUUCGAACAUAGCUUCGUGCCACCGAUGCGAGGUAAGCCCUGCCCAGUGAUAGAUUUUAACGGCCGCAGUACCCUGACUGUGCUAAGGUAGCGUAAUCAGUUGGCUUUUAAAUGGAGUCGAGAAUGAAUGGGUAAAUGGGGGGGCGCUGUUUCUGCUUUGUUUAUUUGAAAUUAUUCAGUGGGUGAAAAUCCCCACAUCAAGAAAAAAGACGAGAAGACCCUUAGAAUCUUAAUGAGGACGCUGCUUUCGGUGGUAAAAUUUUUGUUGGGGCGACAACGAGGCAGGCCUAAAAAGACUUUAACCCUCGAAUGCAAGUGGAACACGACGAGUGUAGUAAGUAAGAUUAGAUUACCUUAGGGAUAACAGCAUAAUUUUCUAAAGUUUGUGACCUCGAUGUUGGACUAGGACCCUCACAAUUAGCCGUUGUAUUGGCAGGAUCUGUUCGAUCCUCUAACUCCUACAUGAUCUGAGUUCAACCGGAAGCUCCAAAA
This 501-nucleotide ribosomal RNA is filed under the name Ovatella firminii. RNAcentral describes it as "partial 16S ribosomal RNA". It matches the Rfam family "Bacterial large subunit ribosomal RNA", at positions 1792 to 2633 of the family's 2925-position model. The record is from RNAcentral. Lineage: Eukaryota; Metazoa; Mollusca; Gastropoda; Ellobiida; Ellobiidae.